Oncorhynchus kisutch (coho salmon) is the source of this 1147-nucleotide long non-coding RNA. RefSeq lists it as uncharacterized. NCBI's taxonomy places the organism in Eukaryota, Metazoa, Chordata, Actinopteri, Salmoniformes, Salmonidae. The transcript is spliced from 2 exons. The record is from RefSeq and is a predicted model, not a curated record.
CAAAACAGAAACAUACAAAGCAAACUAUGGUCAGGGUGUGACAGAACAUCAACUCCUCACCUAAGAUGGAAGGCUGCAUUCUCAAACAGUGGCGAGGAGUUGGGAGCUCUCUUCACCUCACCAAAAUCACCAUGUGAUUUUCUGCUCUGGAAAGGGGGCUGUUGUUUUUGAGAUUCUGAGGAGGGUGCUGGAGGGGUAGGACUGCAGGGACACGCUCUGUUUGGGGGAGGGAGGGGAGCUGGGAGAGAUGAGAGACAGAGCAUUGUUAAUGUGGACUACACAAGAUUCAUUAAUGAACUGGAAAACAUUAGUUGGUUCACUGACAAAAGUUCGGUGGUCUUUUUGUACACAGCAGUAUCUAGGGUAGGGGUGGUAGCAGUGAACAAUGUUAGCAAGAUUUAAUUUGAAGUGUGCCGGAAAAAUCAUAACUUACCUGAACGUUUAAUUGCAAUUAGUGAUUUCCUUUUGACUUCCCCCUGAUAGGUUGAUGGAGGGGUGAAGACAAACCCACAGGCAAACUCCAUUGGUGGCCAUACCACUUAAGUUGGCAGCUCUGGACGUUCUUCUUACUCCGGACCAGGCCUUUAUCCCAGGGACUCAAAAGAGGACGUUACAGCGAAAGAGAGGCAUGCGACCUGGCACCCUGACGAGACUACGUUGACAAGCAAAUACACCAACAUUGGCGAAUGUACUGUAAAGGGAAUAAUGUUUGUGCUUUUCUUAUACCUCAUUUCUGUGUUCUAAUCAUGUGCUGUUCUAAAAAACUAUAUUUGUGUUCAUGCAAGUGGUUGACUAAACAAAUACUCUUAUCAGUAGCUGCAAUUUGGCAGUACGCCCAGACCUUGUUUUGAGAACAAACAAAAGAUAUCCCAGUUUCAAGGUCUCAGCUUAGAGAGGAGAAGCCUCGUAGUAAGGUGUUGGUCUGUCACAUGUUAUGAAACAGUAGUGGUCGGUCAUAUGAAUGAAACAAAACAAUAAUGAUGAAUGAAUGAUGCUAAACCAUGCAUAUAUAACAUGUCUGUGUAUAGCCUAUAGACAACUGCUGGGACUGCCCAGAGAGCUCCUGAUUGAUGUGUACUAUGAUGCAUUGAGUUGUUUGGAACCUCUCCAGCGCGCUGACAAUAAACAAUGAUUCAUUUAAGAUGGA